UUUGUCUGUCCGUUAUCACAACGGCCUCGUCAAUAUCCCCGAACAUCUCGAAGUAUUUUCGAAGGGAUGCGUCGUUUGUAUGAUAAGAUCCUCUCAAUCUCUGUCAGGUUGGAUGGGGAGAGUCACUGGACAGGUAUUUUCAGGUGUCUCUAGAGAUCGGAUUCAAGUCCGACCUUCAAUGCUGCAGACAUGUUUUGUACCCUUCCCCAGAUCUGUGCCUCGACACAAUCCUGUCUCGGAGAUCUACAGACAAUUCCUUCGACCUAAUGGCUUGGUUUAUGUUCUUACAUGCACUGUCAACUGUGGGACCUUAUAUAGACAGGUGUUGUCUUUCCAAAUGUUGUCCAAUCAACUGAAUUUACCAAAGUUGGACUUAAAUCAGGUUGUACAAAUAUCUCAAGGAUGAUCAAUGGAAACAGGUUGCAUCAGAGCACAAUUUCAAGUCUCAUAGCAAAGAGUCUGAAUACUUAUGUAAAUAAGGUAUUUCUGUUUUUUAUUUUUAAUACAUUUGCUAAAUAAAAAAUAAAACUGUU
Molecule: long non-coding RNA, 533 nt
Organism: Oncorhynchus nerka (sockeye salmon)
Lineage: Eukaryota; Metazoa; Chordata; Actinopteri; Salmoniformes; Salmonidae
Exons: 2
Source: RefSeq, a predicted model, not a curated record